AUACGGAGGAUCCGAGCGUUAUCCGGAUUAUUGGGUUUAAAGGGUGCGCAGGCGGCCAUUUAAGUCAGCGGUUAAAUCGUGGGGCUCAACCCCAUUCUGCCGUUGAUACUGGGUGGCUUGAUUGCGGUCGAGGUUGGCGGAAUUCGUUGUGUAGCGGUGAAAUGCAUAGAUAUGACGAAGAACACCGAUUGCGUAGGCAGCUGACCAGACCGCAAAUGACGCUCAUGCACGAAAGUGCGGGGAUCGAACAGGAUUAGAUACCCUGGUAGUCCGCACAGUAAACGAUGAAUACUUGUUUUCGGCGAUAUAAUGUCGGAGGCAAAGCGAAAGCGAUAAGUAUUCCACCUGGGGAGUACGCCGGCAACGGUGAAACUCAAAGGAAUUGACGGGG
RNAcentral lists this ribosomal RNA (391 nucleotides) under uncultured bacterium. RNAcentral describes it as "partial 16S ribosomal RNA". It matches the Rfam family "Bacterial small subunit ribosomal RNA", at positions 523 to 918 of the family's 1533-position model. The record is from RNAcentral.